RNAcentral lists this ribosomal RNA (764 nucleotides) under uncultured Lactococcus sp. RNAcentral describes it as "bacterial SSU rRNA". It matches the Rfam family "Bacterial small subunit ribosomal RNA", at positions 28 to 776 of the family's 1533-position model. Lineage: Bacteria; Bacillati; Bacillota; Bacilli; Lactobacillales; Streptococcaceae. The record is from RNAcentral.
GACGAACGCUGGCGGCGUGCCUAUACAUGCAAGUUGAGCGAUGAAGAUUGGUGCUUGCACCAAUUUGAAGAGCAGCGAACGGGUGAGUAACGCGUGGGGAAUCUGCCUUUGAGCGGGGGACAACAUUUGGAAACGAAUGCUAAUACCGCAUAAUAACUUUAAACAUAAGUUUUAAGUUUGAAAGAUGCAAUUGCAUCACUCAAAGAUGAUCCCGCGUUGUAUUAGCUAGUUGGUGAGGUAAAGGCUCACCAAGGCGAUGAUACAUAGCCGACCUGAGAGGGUGAUCGGCCACAUUGGGACUGAGACACGGCCCAAACUCCUACGGGAGGCAGCAGUAGGGAAUCUUCGGCAAUGGACGAAAGUCUGACCGAGCAACGCCGCGUGAGUGAAGAAGGUUUUCGGAUCGUAAAACUCUGUUGGUAGAGAAGAACGUUGGUGAGAGUGGAAAGCUCAUCAAGUGACGGUAACUACCCAGAAAGGGACGGCUAACUACGUGCCAGCAGCCGCGGUAAUACGUAGGUCCCGAGCGUUGUCCGGAUUUAUUGGGCGUAAAGCGAGCGCAGGUGGUUUAUUAAGUCUGGUGUAAAAGGCAGUGGCUCAACCAUUGUAUGCAUUGGAAACUGGUAGACUUGAGUGCAGGAGAGGAGAGUGGAAUUCCAUGUGUAGCGGUGAAAUGCGUAGAUAUAUGGAGGAACACCGGUGGCGAAAGCGGCUCUCUGGCCUGUAACUGACACUGAGGCUCGAAAGCGUGGGGAGCAAACAGG